AGUGAACGCUGGCGGUAGGCCUAACACAUGCAAGUCGAACGGCAGCACAGUAAGAGCUUGCUCUUACGGGUUGCGAGUGGCGUACGGGUGAGGAAUACAUCGGAAUCUACUUUUUCGUGGGGGAUAACGUAGGGAAACUUACGCUAAUACCGCAUACGACCUACGGUUGAAAGCAUGGGAUCUUCGGACCUUGCGCGAUUGAAUUAGCCGAUGUCGGAUUAGCUAGUUGGCGGGGUAAAGGCCCACCAAGGCGACGAUCCGUAGCUGGUCUGAGAGGAUGAUCAGCCACACUGGAAAUGAGACACGGUCCAGACGCCUAAGGGAGGCAGCAGUGGGGAAUAUUGGACAAUGGGCGCAAGCCUGAUCCAGCCAUACCGCGUGGGUGAAGAAGGCCUUCGGGUUGUAAAGACCUUUUGUUGGGAAAGAAAAGCAGCAGGUUAAUACCACGCUGUUCUGACGGUACCCAAAGAAUAAGCACCGGCUAACUUCGUG
This 492-nucleotide ribosomal RNA is filed under the name uncultured bacterium. RNAcentral describes it as "partial 16S ribosomal RNA". It matches the Rfam family "Bacterial small subunit ribosomal RNA", at positions 29 to 507 of the family's 1533-position model. The record is from RNAcentral.